This 619-nucleotide small RNA is filed under the name uncultured Galactomyces. RNAcentral describes it as "eukaryotic LSU rRNA". The stretch from base 354 to 619 matches the Rfam family "Eukaryotic large subunit ribosomal RNA", at positions 1 to 281 of the family's 3401-position model. The record is from RNAcentral. Lineage: Eukaryota; Fungi; Ascomycota; Dipodascomycetes; Dipodascales; Dipodascaceae.
CUUGGUCAUUUAGAGGAAGUAAAAGUCGUAACAAGGUUUCCGUAGGUGAACCUGCGGAAGGAUCAUUAUGAAUUAAUAAUAUUUGUGAAUUUACCACAGCAAACAAAAAUCAUACAAUCAAAACAAAAAUAAUUAAAACUUUUAACAAUGGAUCUCUUGGUUCUCGUAUCGAUGAAGAACGCAGCGAAACGCGAUAUUUCUUGUGAAUUGCAGAAGUGAAUCAUCAGUUUUUGAACGCACAUUGCACUUUGGGGUAUCCCCCAAAGUAUACUUGUUUGAGCGUUGUUUCUCUCUUGGAAUUGCUUUGCUCUUCUAAAAUUUCGAAUCAAAUUCGUUUGAAAAACAACACUAUUCAACCUCAGAUCAAGUAGGAUUACCCGCUGAACUUAAGCAUAUCAAUAAGCGGAGGAAAAGAAACCAACAGGGAUUGCCUUAGUAACGGCGAGUGAAGCGGCAAAAGCUCAAAUUUGAAAUCGGCCCCCAGGUCGAGUUGUAAUUUGUAGAUUGUAUCUUGAGAGCGGAUUAAAGUCUGUUGGAACACAGCGCCUUAGAGGGUGACAGCCCCGUAAAAUCUAUUCUCAUUGUAAGAUACUUUCGAAGAGUCGAGUUGUUUGGGAAU